Molecule: long non-coding RNA, 425 nt
Filed under: Carica papaya (papaya)
Lineage: Eukaryota; Viridiplantae; Streptophyta; Magnoliopsida; Brassicales; Caricaceae
Description: long non-coding RNA (CPAP_LNC008643)
Source: RNAcentral
UGGGAUGAUUUGUCUCUUUAUCACUAUCAUGAGUGGUGAGUAUCUGACCAAAAAGUUUGAAAUCACCAUUUCUGCAUGGUUUGUCUGUAUCGGAUAAACUCCUCGAAUGGGAUCUUGAUUGAUCAGUUAGUUCUUCUACUUUUGUGGAUAGAAGAGGAUUUUCUGAUGCUGAACUGUUAGGUUUUGAGCUACUACAUUUACGUAGAAAAUCUUGGACAAUUUCUGGAGAAGGUAGAACCACUUCAGAAUUUGACAUGCUUUGAGACUUAGAAUGCGGUAGACAACUAAUAUCUCCAUUCAUUUCUUUCUUGGUUGGAAUAUGCAGGGGAUAGUCCCUGAGAUCCUGGGAGGACCCACCGGGUGGAUGCCCUGAAAUGUGUUGCUGAUGGUCUGCAAUGUUAACAGAUGUAUUACCCUGCUUAGAC